This is a long non-coding RNA of Oreochromis niloticus (Nile tilapia), 4982 nucleotides long. RefSeq lists it as uncharacterized. Lineage: Eukaryota; Metazoa; Chordata; Actinopteri; Cichliformes; Cichlidae. The record is from RefSeq and is a predicted model, not a curated record. The transcript is spliced from 3 exons.
CACGCAGCGCACAUAACAGCGUAUUCCCUAUUUGGGCACUGAGAUUUUUCCACAGGGGACAAAUCCCCCGCAAAAUAGAAAAGUGGCAUCUUCCAUUGUGAAGGGGGCUAUUUAUUUUGAUUUGAUUAAGGGUGCUUUAGUUGGGCCUCGCUGCGUAAUCCCCUGAGAAUAUGUCUGGAAAAGGGGAUCAAGUCUCUUUAAAACCUGAAGGCUUUUCUGUGCGCUCAAACGAGGGAAAGUUAGACGACAAUGUUCCACACGGGGGGGCGGAAGAGCGAUACUGAAUAUGGUAAUGGCUUCACGGUGUCCUCGAGCUGCUUCGGCGAAGACACUUUCCACACGACAUAAGACCGCUUGUCCAACAGAGACGGAGGGAGCGCGAGGGGGCGGAAAGAGAGGAAGACAGACAGACGGUGAGGGAGGGGGAAAGGCUCCUACCCGCCAACCCCCGAGAUAGGAUUUAUACAGAAUCAAAAUAAAAGUCUUUCCCAUAAAAGUCAGCAACUCUGCUUGAAUUUGUCCAGAAAUUGUGAUGAAAUCUACUGUGGGAGAUGGGAAAAGAAAAAGCGGAUUAUUUGUGGGGAGGCUCUGGUGAGUCGGUGAGCUGAGUACAGCUGACACCUGUCAAGGGUUUUGGGGCUAUAAUAGGGAAGCGUUCAGGAAGAAAGGAUGCCUGCUAACGAACACAGGAGGAUAUGUAUGGUGCGCUCUGUGUGUGUGUGUGUGUGUGCUUCUGCCUGAUUGUGUGAAUGCAUGUGUAAUACUUCGGAGACCUUGCGAGCACUGAAACACGCAUUUCCACGUUUCUUCCACUCAUAAUGAGCGACUGGCGGAGACGCUGUGGAAGAUCCUGGGAGCGGUGCCCUGCAGCCCGACUGCUCUCGGCUCAGCUGGACGAACAAGGCCCCGGUCAGCAGCCUCUCUCAGCCCUCUCUGGACGGCUGUUGGGACCCACGUCAUGGGCCACCAUCUAUUCCAGGGGUUCGUUUAUAGCAUCUGGACACUGAAUUCUUCUCUCUGAAGUCCCAAAAGCGAGGAAGCGUCUGGAAUUUUCCAUCUCAGCGUGUUCACUCGCUUUCUUACUAUUUUUUCUUUUUGGUGAGGUGCUAAGCUAAAUCUGUUUUGAAAAACUGUGUCAUUAAGUCGGCACGCCGCACUGAGGGAACUUAUCAGUUUUGAUGUACUACCAUUCAAAGUGAUGUGGGCUCAGUCGCCUCGGCUGACAGCAGAAAGACAGAGUAACUGCGGGAUGGGGUUAAUGUAAAGCUUUCCUAUGAGAGCCUUGCUCUGUCCUGACAAGAAUGAUUCACUUCCUGAAGGAUUGGUGCCGAGCCAGAAUGCUUCUUCAAGGACAGAUAGCACGCUAACCCACUUUUUAAAAUGACUGAGAGCUCAACCUCAAAAUCCUACAGUAGGUGUUUUCAUAAGAGCCAUUCGGGCUUUCAAUGACUUUGGAAGUGCUGUAAGAUUACAUUAAAACGGGAAGAUGGAUUAUUGCUGAGGUAAAAUUUUGUCCAAUUUAGAAAAAAAAGAAGCAAUAAUGACUCCCUGUGCUGAUAUAUUUAAAACGCUUCAGGGGUAAAAAAGUACAACUUAGUGUUAACUUCCAAAUGCUUCCAGAAAAAAAGCACUUCCUGUCAGGAAAUUCAUAUAAAAAUGUGCAUCUUUUCUUAGCCAUGAUUUUGGUUUUAUGCACGAGAAACCAGGUUUAAGAUGUCCAGUGUUAGCUUUCAUUAUGCACAUGCAUACGAUGUUAGCAUUAAAAUGCAUUAACAGAAGUGACUCUGCCUUCUCUGAAUGUUACUCCUGCUGCUCUGGAAACUAACCAAGGAAGGACAAGAGGAAAGGAGGACAAGGAGGAUGCCAUUUCUUAUUUGCACCUUCUCGUGUCCUUGUAGCUCAGUCUUGGUUUCUCGCCUGCUUCUCAGCACUUGUGCCUUUGGGGAGUCUUGGUGGUAUUUAUAGCGCGAUAGAGGGGAGGAGAAGGAGAAGGAGCGCUCGUGGUGCUUCGUUCACAAUUACAUGGAAAUUCCCGGCACGGUCACGCAUUUGUUGGACGCUAUAUCCUGCGCCGGGUUUAAUCCCCGCAGUCCCGCGGGAGAGCUGGAGCGUGACCGAGCAGAUUACCGUCGACUGCUUCCUCAGCAGGCCGGACCCGCCGACGCUAACGGCCGAGGUGGGAGCUCUGCCGUCUGCGGCGGAGCGAGGUGUGAUGGUGCACCGGUGCACCCUCUGGACCUGUGAACUCCAUCAGUGAGGAGUGGAACGCAGAUUACAUGGCUACAUGCUUGAGCUGCCAAGGACGGGAGCGUGGGCAGGCUGUGCACAUGUGGCUGAACACAAAUAAAAAAAUUCAAUAGCAUUUUUCCUCUUUUCCUUUCUGUGAAUGUGGUGGGAGUGAGCUGGGAGAGGUGGGCUUAGUUGGGGAGUGUGUCAAGUAUAAUCAAGCCGGUAAUCAUAUUUUAGGAAGCAAGGAUGUCUCUGUUUCCUCCUCGAAUCGUUAUGAAACUGCUUUACUUAAUAAAAUAACUAAGUCUUUUUAAAGCUGUUUAAUCAGCUUUAGCACUUCAAAUGUUUGACAUCAGACGGGUCAAUACAGACGCAGGAAAAACAGAUUCUUUCCUUGCUUCUCACUAUUACACUGCAGCGUUCAUGUACAGCUGGGUGGGAUGGAUAUAUAUUGUGCUUUUGCAGCAUCCCCUCUUGCCCGAGGCCCCCACAUCUUCUACCAGCCACCUCAGCACCUUCCCCGGCAGGGUUUCUGAGCCUGAGCCGGGCUGGGGUGCGCCUUGGGGCUGCUGAGCUCCACACACUGUCAAUUUCCUCCAAAAACAUCCACUCGCUCCCUUAGGCAUUGGCUUGAGUCAUGGCUUUUUCUUUCUUCUUCUUCUUUUUUUUUUUGGCUGAAUUACUCUGUGGCUCCGGCAAGGCACCAAGGCUUAAAAGUCCUGUCUGAAGCACGGUCAUUACCAGUGGAGUGCUUAACCCCCGGAGGGGGGUAUGUGGUGGAGGGAACUAUGCGAUGGGUGGGAGAGAAAGCAGAGCUGAGACAGUCUCUGAAUCUUUUUCCUGUAAUAGCAUAAUAUCCUCCUCCCCCAUGUGUGUGUGUGUGCGCUGUUCUCAACAUGCUGCUCUGCACCGUGUCCAAGUGCAGGUCUUGGAAACAGCUGCUGAGGACAUUUGAGUCUCGAGGAGAGCCUGAUAUCAGCUGAGAUCAGGUAAACUCGGGAUAUAAGGCCUUUCAAAGCACCACGAUAAACACGGAGCAGCUUAAGUGUUUGGACCGCCUCGCUGCAACAGCUCUAACACACAGUCACAAACAGCAAACCUCUGGUUAGUGUUAUCUGAUCAAAGAUCGCUUCAAAAAGCAAAAAAAUAUGUAAGUAUUAUUUGCAGAGAGGCCGUGUCCUCCAGCAGACUCAUGUAUCACAUUAACUGUGUACAGGAUGGAGCUUAUGUAGCUGAUUACACAAGUUCAGCUACAGUCGUUUACCGGCGGAUAAAAAAAGCAGUCGUGUAGCCUUUAAAGUUACAGACACCAGACUGUUUUAUGUAUUUUGCUGAGCUACAAACUGCUUCAGUGUGUGUGUGUGUGUGUGUGUGUGUGAGAAAUGGCUAAAAGACAAAAUGCUGUUACCCAUUACACACAGAAACACAACCUCUCCCAGCACAGACAGGCCAAGAGAAACAGCAGAGCAGAGUUCAGGAACUUGGAGCUAGUUUCUGUGUUGGCUAAUUUGCUAGUUCGCUCGGGAGAGGGAAGGGAAGCAGAUGGAGCUGUCAUUAAGAACAAUGACCAGCAGCUGUCUGGCCUGUUCACUCUGCUAAGGACCGGGGCCUGGCUAUGUCCUGGAGUCAAUAUGAAGCCUUAGACGAAACAUUAUGAUGUGAAAGUGCACGAGGUGUCUCAUCAGAACACACAUCGGUCCCCAUCAGUAGGAAGGAAGCGAUUCCUGUUUUGGACAGUUGAGGCUAAAGGAUCACGUGAGGCUUGAUAACCUACUGCAGACACGACACUGGACUGCCGAUAUUUCUCCAGAUCAUGAUUCAGCGGAUGAAGCUCGUGACGUGUCAGCCGCCUCGUCAGUCUGGAGCUCAUAAUCUUAUCAUGAGGAGGGCCAAGAGGUGUGUCCAGGGUUCAAGUGUCUCAUGAAUAUUCUGAGUCACGCUGGCUUUGAAUGCCCACGAUGAGACCUGCCACACAGGAUGAUAGAGGACUGUAUCAGCUGUGUGUGUGUCGUAGACUGUAGGAAACAGUGAAUGGAAACGUCUUUCAAAACGACUCUUUUUGUAUUCCUCAUUAGCAAACUGUCUUUGACACCAGUGACACCGAAGUCAAGCCCGGUGUGACGGUGAGCGCGAGGCCAGCGGUAAUCAAAAAUGACAAAUGUGACUCUCCAAUCUGGGGCCAAACUCCUCCGUAACCCCUCUGAAUGGAUGAUAGGCUGGACUGGUCCUCCCAGCGGACCAGUCAGGAAGCAGAGGCUGCUGCACAAAUGUGAUGUCAGUUAAAGUCAGCGUGGGGCCUGUUAAUGGUUCUGGUGAUUAUAAUUCAGCACGAAGCCUGACAGCGGUCGCAGUUUUCUCUGCUUUUUUAAACUAUCGCCUGAAAGUUCGACUCUCACGUUUGAGGCGUUCGUGCUCGCUCGAGUUUUAACAGACUUUCUGGUAAAAUGACACGUGCUAAAUAUAGACUCGUGAAUCAGCUCUUCAGCAAAUUAGGAGCUCAGAGUAACGUGAAAUCCUCAGUUUUAGAAAACAUUAAACAAUUAUGAUUUCAAGGGUUUUUACACUACAGCUGGCGUCCUACAUCCUGUUUGACCAUUUCUCACCUUGUGACAAAACUGUAUGAGAUCCUUACAAACGUUUUGUUACAGCUCUCGUCAUCACAUCACCAUCUCUACACACAUAUAUUUAAUAAUGUUUCCUGUAAUAAUAACGGACAAACAAAUAUUCGAAGAUCUUCUUUUCAUUUAAAUGUU